UGGGGGAUAUUGCACAAUGAGCGAAAGCCUGAUGCAGCGACGCCGCGUGGGGGAUGAAGGCUUUCGGGUUGUAAACCUCUUUCGCUAUCGAACAAGGCCCGCUUAGGGUGGGUUGAGGGUAGGUGGAGAAGAAGCGCCGGCUAACUACGUGCCAGCAGCCGCGGUAAUACGUAGGGCGCGAGCGUUGUCCGGAAUUAUUGGGCGUAAAGGGCUUGUAGGCGGCUUGUUGCGCCUGCUGUGAAAACGCGGGGCUUAACUUCGCGCGUGCAGUGGGUACGGGCAGGCUUGAGUGUGGUAGGGGUGACUGGAAUUCCAGGUGUAGCGGUGGAAUGCGCAGAUAUCUGGAGGAACACCGAUGGCGAAGGCAGGUCACUGGGCCAUUACUGACGCUGAGGAGCGAAAGCAUGGGUAGCGAACAGG
This 420-nucleotide ribosomal RNA is filed under the name bacterium. Its description in RNAcentral is "partial 16S ribosomal RNA". It matches the Rfam family "Bacterial small subunit ribosomal RNA", at positions 355 to 776 of the family's 1533-position model. The record is from RNAcentral.